CCUGGCUGGCUCAUUUGGUAGAGGCUGUGCGGCUCUUGGUCUUGGGGUUGUGAGUUUGAGCCCCAUGUUGGGUGUUGAGGUUACUUCAAAAUAAAAAUAAAAACCCUGAAAGAAAUGAUAAAAUAGGUACAUCUUAGAACUGAUGAAAUCGGUUGUUUGAAAACUCUCCAGAAGGCACCGUUUAGGAGACCAACUCGCCUGACUUUUCUCAGUACAUGCCUCCUGCGCAGGAACAGGUAGCUGCUCUAGGUUAAGCCGCAGGCGCGCGCUGAGGCCGCGGUAUGCAGAAUUGUCCGGCGGGGCCACAUACUGCCCUGCAAGAGCUCUGUGAGAGCAGUGAGCAGAGGCACUCCAGAUUCACUUCUCCUGUCUCAAGCUUGCAGGGAAAUGGGAUGGAAGGGUGAGCAUGCUUGAACACUGGCCAGAAGAACCCAGAAACAAGGGUGAGGUAAAAGUACGAGAGAAAGUGGCAAAAGAAAAGUACAAAGUCCGUUGAAGGCAGGAACUAGGAGAUCCAGAAAAUGAGUGGGAAGACAGUCUUAGGUGUAUUGGGGUGAGGUUGGAGAAGACAGCUGCAGGUUUAGUUCCUGGAAUAUUGAGGGAGUUCCCCGGAGACAGCUUCUGUUCUCUGGGAAGCAGGUGUGGUUGUCUCAUGAACCUGAAGUUAGGAAAGGGUAGGAGGAGACAGAGAUUUGAGGGUGGCGGAGAACGUUUGAAAGAAUCGUUAGAGGAAGUGGUGGAACAGCGGAGGAGAGAAACGUACCAGGAUUGUUCGGAAAGACACCGAAUUAUGCUGCAGGUGACUGGUCUUUUUUUACUCUAUCUCCUCGUUCCUAGUGGCUGCAUAAUACCCUUGGUGUUUACUUGAUCUCAUCUGACAAACAUUUGAGUUGUUUCCGAUUUUUUAGUAUUCUAAACCUAUUUGUGCGACACAUUUAAGUGUGUUUGGAGAAGUGGAGUUGCAGUUUCGGGGAGCGUAUCCCUCAGGGGACAGAGACUGUCAGUUAAGUUAUUCACAUAGAGAGAAUUUUUUUUUUCCUUAAAGUUUUUUUUUUUUCUUUCUUAAUUAUUUGACAGAGACACAGCGAGAGAGGGAACACGAGCAGGGGGAGUGGGAGAGGGAGAAGCAGGCUUCCCGCUGAGCAGGGAGCCCGAUGUGGGGCUCGAUCCCAGGACCCCAGGAUCAUGACUUGAGCCGAAGGCAGAUGCUUAAUGAGUGAGCCACCCAGGCGCCCCCAGAUAGAGAGAAUUUAAUACAAAGAAGUGAUGAGCUAGGUGGAAGGUUGGUAACUGGGCCACUGGCAGUGUAAGCACCUUCUAGGGUGUUAUGCAGGCUGCCGCUGCAGGAAGUGGCUCCCAUCUCCAGGGCUAAGGGGACAGGGGGAGAAAGUGGAAUUGUUAAAAGGAGAAGCUUGAAGGAGAGCCCCUGUGGAGGCAGAACUCAGGCCUCCUGGGCUGCGGCUAGUGCUGCCCUCUGGGAACUGGGACAGAGGGUCCCCCGGGACAGGGGAGGGUGGUGGCUGGCUGGAACCAGUCCUACGGAGCCGCCAGAGGGCGCUGCUGCCGAGUUGAAGAAGUGCGGCUGGGGAGAUGCCCACGGGAGCCCCUAGCGGACCUGCCAGGUCCCUCUUUCCCCACUCUUCUUCCUGCCUCGCAGUCCCAUCCCCAUCCUUCUGCAGAUCCUGCCUAGCACGGGGCGGGGAGGUGGCUGGUGGGGCUGCAGCCCCUGCCUCACGAAGCUGAGGGCAGCCUUGGGGCUGAGACGUGAACUCACUGUGUUAGUCCAGAGUGCAUGUGGAUAUGGGUGUGCGAGUAUGUAUAAAUAUUGGCUUAUUUAAGGAAUCUCUGCACCCGGCGUGGGGCUUGAAUCCACAGCCCAAGAUCAGGAGUUGCAUGCUCUACCCUCUGAGCUGGCCA
Long non-coding RNA from Lutra lutra (Eurasian river otter), 1917 nucleotides. RefSeq lists it as uncharacterized. Lineage: Eukaryota; Metazoa; Chordata; Mammalia; Carnivora; Mustelidae. The record is from RefSeq and is a predicted model, not a curated record. The transcript is spliced from 2 exons.